This 3087-nucleotide long non-coding RNA is filed under the name Ananas comosus (pineapple). RNAcentral's name for it is "long non-coding RNA (ACOM_LNC019128)". The stretch from base 801 to 978 matches the Rfam family "U2 spliceosomal RNA". The record is from RNAcentral. Lineage: Eukaryota; Viridiplantae; Streptophyta; Magnoliopsida; Poales; Bromeliaceae.
UAACGUUGGGAAUACCAACGUUAAGUUUUCUCAUUCCCCUGUAUAUAUAUUUAUAUACACUUGUUCUACUGUUCAUAGAUAUAUGAACACCGUGGAAAAACAACAAGUGAAAAGAGGGUUUUAAUUUAAGUUUUUUUAUCAAUUGUUUAUUUACUUGAUUUCUUUAUCAUCGGGUGUUGAAAGAGUCUCCGUCAACCUCCUUCACGAUCGUGCUCGCAGGAGGAGGAAUUCCGGUCGUACCUUGGGGUGUUAUUUCCGGUUAAUCCCGCACGUAAGGACGGAAAUACGCCUUAGGGCAGUGCCUCGCACGCUUCCGGAUCAAUUAAAUUUUUAUUUGGACUUAGCGAUUAUCGGUAAGUUGAUUUUAUUAAUUUUAUCAUAAGAUUUUGUUAGAUUUAAAUCACAAUCAGAUUUCUGUGCGGUAUUUGUUCCAACAAUCUAAGGCGUAAUUCCGAUUUGAUUGUGAUUGAAAUCUGACGAGUGCUAAUCCGUAUUAAAUUAAUUUUAUAUGUAUAUAAUUUGUUAGUUAAUUUGUUUGUAUAAUUGGCAUUCAAACAUAAAUUUUUCGGAAUUAUCAUUUUAACCUAUAAUUGCAUAUUAUGUAAUUUCUUGUUUAAAUUACAUUUUAUUUGAUGAGUAUUUAAAAAAAAAAAAAAAAAAAAUUGCCUUUACUUGUAGCUCUUUUGAAAAUAAAAAGGUACGGACAUUAUGGAUUUCAAAACUAUAUGUAUAUUGUUUUCACUAUUUUUUUUUAUAUAAGUUAAAAAAAAAAAAAAAAAAAUCAGUGUAACCGUAUAUAUAUAUAUACUGUUCCGUUGUAAUAUCUGUUCUUAUUAGUUUAAUAUCUGAUAUAUGUGGGCUACUUGCCAACCUCGAUAUUAAAUUAAUUUUUUGUGGGAGAGUAUCUACCCAUGAUAGCUUGUUACUGGAAUUUUAUCAUGUCGUUGCGCUGCACUGCUGUUCGAGACUAGCACACUUAUGUAUGUAGUUUAAUUAUUAUUUUGCUUAAAAUAGAAAGAUAUCGAAUGUUAUUUUUGUUAGACAAAUUUGAUUGCAUGUUUGUCGUUCUAAUUUAAAUAAAUUAGAAUUAGUAUUUUCAAAUUCUAAUUGCAUAUAAUUUACUUGCUAAUUGCAUAUAACUUAAUUAUCAAUUAUUAUAUUCUCAUAUCUGUUAUAGGGUGUUUUAAAUUUGUUUUUUUUUUAAAAAAAAGCUACUGUAAAAUUAUUUUUUAUAGUGUACGGCUUAAAAGUUUUGCUACAGUAAAAAUUCUUUGGUAAAAAAAAAAAAAAAAAGAGAAGAGAAUUUGCCACAGUAAAUUAAGGAGAGUUUGCUACACUAAAUUUAGUUUAUGUGUACGGAUGCGUUCGUACCAGCAUCACCUAACCUAUAAUACUAUCUCUUAGUUGUCACUACAUUUGUUACAUCUAAGUAUUUUAUACAUUGGUUAUAGUAUAUCAUUUUAUUUUGCUUGUGCCAUCUAUUUGUUGUUGACCCAAAUUCUAUUAGACAUGAUUAAGGCCAUAUUUUUUAAAUUCUGAUAUAUUUCAAAACUUGUGGGGGGUACUCUUUUAUCAGUUUGAUAAAUUUUGAUAUUAUAAUUACUCUCGUAAUUUUAUCCUAGUGUUCAUCUUGGAAACGAAUUUUGCAAAUUCUAAGAUUGGCAGGUAAAUUAUUUUGAGACAUAAAUUUAUUAGAUGGCUAACCUUUUAUAAUAUUAUUUUUUAAGUUUUUUCAGAUCUGAUCAGAAUCUUGCAGAUUGCUUGACGAAAGGCCUGAAUAGGACUAAGGUCCUAGAGUCAUCGAGGGGGAUGGGACUUUGCCCGUAAAGGGCCUUCCUGCAGUGGGAACCCAACCUUUGUGAUAGGAGAUCCCUUGAAGAAGGUUCAAUGUGGUAAAAACAAGCUGUCAGGUUGGCCAAGAGCACUUUCUACAAAUUUUAUAAAGGAGCUUUAGCUCCAAUUCCAUCCCUAUGGUGAGUAGUGCUCUGUGUAGUGGAUUAGGUUGAGCUGAGAGCUCUUAAUGGGAUCCAAGGCGAUAAUUUUCGCGAGAUGUGACUCUACACACAUCCCUGGAGGAAACCACCUAUAUAAGAGUAUCCGUAUGUGGCCGCGGCUAUGUGAAUGGGCUAUACAUAGAAACUCUUAUGAAAAAUCAAGGUACUGUGCAUGGCCAUUAACGCACAGACCCGCGACGGAGAAUUCUAUACUGUGUGUGUGAUAGUUGAAGUCAGGGACAAAGGAACGUAGUUCAAGACCUGGUUCACUCCGAUUCCUUCUGAUGGAAACUAUUUACACUAAGUGAGGUUAAGUCCUUAAAGACACCUUACCUAUUGCAUAGUAUAAACACCCGGUGAUUUAUUUAUUUAUUAGUUUUGUUUUCGAGUUUAAUUCCUAUUUCGAAAUUUUGAAUUUUGUGGGGGAUUGUUGGAGAAAAUUCAAAAUCUCUAAAUUUCAUAUUUUAAAAUAUUAAUUUAAUUUAUUUUUAUUAUUAUUAUUUUUUAAGCGAACGUCCGCACGCACUGUGCACGCGCGGACGUUACGCAUGCUCGCGCUAUUUGUCCGCAUGGAAUCCAUGCGGACAUUCAUGUGGGUGCUAAUUAAAAGGGCUAAUUAAGAAAAUGUUAACGUUGGGAAUACCAACGUUAAGUUUUCUCAUUCCCCUGUAUAUAUAUUUAUAUACACUUGUUCUACUGUUCAUAGAUAUAUGAACACCGUGGAAAAACAACAAGUGAAAAGAGGGUUUUAAUUUAAGUUUUUUUAUCAAUUGUUUAUUUACUUGAUUUCUUUAUCAUCGGGUGUUGAAAGAGUCUCCGUCAACCUCCUUCACGAUCGUGCUCGCAGGAGGAGGAAUUCCGGUCGUACCUUGGGGUGUUAUUUCCGGUUAAUCCCGCACGUAAGGACGGAAAUACGCCUUAGGGCAGUGCCUCGCACACUUCCGGAUCAAUUAAAUUUUUAUUUGGACUUAGCGAUUAUCGGUAAGUUGAUUUUAUUAAUUUUAUCAUAAGAUUUUGUUAGAUUUAAAUCACAAUCAGAUUUCUGUGCGGUAUUUGUUCCAACACGAAACACAUACCAUGCUAUAUUUCUCUA